AUGAUCUCUACAUCCCUACUGCUGCUGCUGCUGGCAGCCGUACACUGUGUUCACAGUGUUGAGCUGAUCCAGACCGGAUCCACAGUAUUAACUCCUGGUCAGUCACUGACUCUGACCUGUAAAGUGUCUGGAUAUUCAUUAACUGAUAGCAGCUACUGUACAGACUGGAUACGACAACCUGCAGGAAAAACUCUGGAGUGGAUCGGAGAGAUAUGUGGUGAUGGUAACACUUACUACAGUGAGAAACUGAAAAGCAGGUUUCAGGUUUCCAGAGACACGUCCAGCAGCACAGUGACAUUAACAGGACAGAACAUGCAGACUGAAGACACAGCUGUGUAUUACUGCGCUCGUGAACCACAAAAUGAGACGAAUAAACAACAUCCCUGUGACUGGUUUGAGUGCCCAGGAUUCUGCUGUUUAUUAAAAAUCUCAGAUGUGGUCAAAGAGAAAAGUGUAUUCAAUGUAGAGGCCAUUUUCACAAGAUCUGCAGGUGGCGCUACAGCUUAA
Molecule: non-coding RNA, 507 nt
Organism: Tachysurus vachellii
Lineage: Eukaryota; Metazoa; Chordata; Actinopteri; Siluriformes; Bagridae
Source: the annotation of a RefSeq genome assembly